RNAcentral lists this ribosomal RNA (744 nucleotides) under Triticum aestivum (bread wheat). RNAcentral's name for it is "partial small subunit ribosomal RNA". The record is from RNAcentral. Lineage: Eukaryota; Viridiplantae; Streptophyta; Magnoliopsida; Poales; Poaceae.
AUGAGCAAUGCUCUACUUGCUCCUUAUACCGCGGAAGAUGUUCACAAGGCUUUAUUCGAUAUUGGGGACUUGAAAGCUCCAGGACCAGAUGGACUCCACGCUAUCUUCUAUAAAAGGUUCUGGCCCAUGCUUGGGGAAGACCUAAUUGAGGAGGUUCUGAAAGCAAUCAACACAUUAGAAUACAGAGUAAGGAUAAAUGCAGAGGAAAAUGAGAGUUUUAAGCCUACUAGAGGGUUGAGACAGGGGGACCCGCUAUCACCAUACCUAUUCCUGCUGUGCACAGAAGGGUUGAAUGCCUUGCUCUCGCAUGCUGAGGAGAACGGGAACAUAUCAGGAGUUAAAGUCUGUAGAGACGCCCCACCAGUAACUAAUCUCCUCUUUGCGGAUGACUCGUUGAUCUUGAUGAAAGCCAACCAACAUAAUGCGGCGUCCCUGAAAUCAGCACUAGAUUUAUAUUGUGCGGCACCGGGACAGCUGGGUGUAGAAGACACGAAGCGCAUGCUUUUCCUAUGUACUAAAGCAAAGGAGGUUUGGAAGAGACUAGGAAUAGAUGAGAUUAUUGAUAGAGCUUGCGAGGUUGAUCGUGCUCGAGAGGCGAUACUGGAAUACCUUUUAGUUCUCCCAGAUCAAGAUUUGCGUAUUAUGGGGUACCAAAAUGACAUGCUGAAGGGUACGGUGGGGGCGGUUUUGCGAGACGACAAAGGACGGAGGACAGUCAACGGGUGCGGCGGCGGCAAUUUUUGA